UACGUAGGGACCGAGCGUUGUCCGGAAUUAUUGGGCGUAAAGCGCGCGCAGGCGGCCUUGUAAGUCUGUCGUUUAAACUCGGAGCUCAACUUCGAGUCGCGAUGGAAACUGCAAAGCUUGAGUGCAGAAGAGGAAAGUGGAAUUCCACGUGUAGCGGUGAAAUGCGUAGAGAUGUGGAGGAACACCAGUGGCGAAGGCGACUUUCUGGGCUGUAACUGACGCUGAGGCGCGAAAGCGUGGGGAGCAAACAGG
Molecule: ribosomal RNA, 252 nt
Filed under: uncultured bacterium
Lineage: Bacteria
Description: partial 16S ribosomal RNA
Rfam family: Bacterial small subunit ribosomal RNA
Source: RNAcentral